AGUGAACGCUGGCGGUAGGCCUAACACAUGCAAGUCGAACGGCAGCACAGUAAGAGCUUGCUCUUACGGGUGGCGAGUGGCGGACGGGUGAGGUAUACAUCGGAAUCUACUUUUUCGUGGGGGAUAACGUAGGGAAACUUACGCUCAUACCGCAUACGACCUACGGGUGAAAGCAGGGGAUCUUCGGACCUUGCGCGAUUGAAUGAGCCGAUGUCGGAUUAGCUAGUUGGCGGGGUAAAGGCCCACCAAGGCGACGAUCCGUAGCUGGUCUGAGAGGAUGAUCAGCCACACUGGAACUGAGACACGGUCCAGACUCCUACGGGAGGCAGCAGUGGGGAAUAUUGGACAAUGGGCGAAAGCCUGAUCCAGCCAUACCGCGUGGGUGAAGAAGGCCUUCGGGUUGUAAAGCCCUUUUGUUGGGAAAGAAAAGCAGCAGGUUAAUACCCCGCUGUUCUGACGGUACCCAAAGAAUAAGCACCGGCUAACUUCGUG
RNAcentral lists this ribosomal RNA (492 nucleotides) under uncultured bacterium. Its description in RNAcentral is "partial 16S ribosomal RNA". It matches the Rfam family "Bacterial small subunit ribosomal RNA", at positions 29 to 507 of the family's 1533-position model. The record is from RNAcentral.